Molecule: long non-coding RNA, 2555 nt
Organism: Poecilia latipinna (sailfin molly)
Lineage: Eukaryota; Metazoa; Chordata; Actinopteri; Cyprinodontiformes; Poeciliidae
Exons: 4
Source: RefSeq, a predicted model, not a curated record
AAGAGCACCGUUAUUGUAUUAAAAAGAACCAUCUGUGGCAGAAACAAUGGCUUCAAAUUAUCUGUGAAUACCCAGUGAACAAAAUAUAAAGCUUUUUCCUGCUCAUUAUGUGGGCUAAGCUAGGGGGUGGAAGAUAGGAGAGGCACAGACUUUGCUAUAACUGACUUUUGUUGUUCUUGCUUGCAUUCUUCUCCUUUUUAAAUCGGCCCCCUUUUCACAUUGUGUGUCGCCAUAAACGGCUUUUCUUGUUGCAGAGACUCGCGGAGAGAAGACAAGCGGAGCUCCAGACAGAGAGCGGGGCUGCGCGGCUCCGCACGCCCCGCGAAGGCACCCCGGCGGUCGGAUCCGAACCGCGCGGACUCCCGGGGGCUACGGAGGGGAGGCGACAUGCGGGGCGGGACGCAGCCGGACCUGGAGCUGCUGCCGCCGGACUCAUUUGGGCCGCGGCGACGGCUGAAGAUUUCCGGGGAAGUUGAGCGAAACUGCGAGUUGUUUAAUUUGUGCCAAUCAAGAGGAGAGGAAGACAAGUCCCGAAGUGGCAGUAAGUUGAACUGCGAUGGAGAGGAGAAGCCCCGAGCGAGAGGCUCUGCGUGUCCGUGUGCAUUUACGUAACAUGAGAUUAAAGACACGCCCCGGCUGAACCAGACGGCAGAAACUGGGACCAGGUGAUGCUGAUGGAGGAACGUCAUCUUGGCUCAACAAAUGAAGAAGAUGCUGACAUUUCACACUCCAACACACAGUAAAUGUGUAAAACUGUUUCCAGGUGAAGAGAAGCAGAUCAGAAGGAAUCCAGGUGAACUGGAAUCACACAGAGAAACGUGACUGCUGCUGCAGGGAUGGGAUGAUGCGGUCAGUGUGAGCAGCCUGUAUCUGCCGGCCCCCAGAUUUUCCUUUGUGCUGCUGGAAUUAACUACGACUCGUCACAUGUAACCGACUGCUAACCUCCAACCCCAUUCAGGAACCGUCGCCUGUGUGUGUGAGAGGGGCAGAGAAAGGAAGAGGUCAAGCUGUCACAAACACAAGCAAAAUCAUUGUUCCCAAUGGAAAAGCACAAAUCCACUCCAACCAGAACAAACACCGACAGAUACACUUGCAAAAACUGUAGAGCUUUACUCAACCUGCUGGAAAUGAAACAUGAUUUGAUGAAACUGCACAUAUUAAAAUAAACUGAAAUGUGAUGUAAUUUCAACUGAAAUUUGACGUAGUAUUAAAAUCAUUUACUUAGCAAACUUAGUCAUACAUAGAUUUAGCAAUUUCAUUUUGAAUUAUUUCAUUUUCUUCAAUGACUAUUUUGAGCUAUUUUGUUUUUGCAACAAUAAGACUGUCAUUAAUUUCACAGUAGGAUCUAUAGACAUGUUGCAGUGUGAGAUCCCGCCCCCUGCUGCUAGCUGACGAUGACUAGCAUUGGUUUUAGCGGUCAAGUUGCCGACAUAACACGCCAAAUCUUAAAGAGAAUGGUCUACACUACGACAACUGUUUAUUUUGUGAUUAUUAACUUUAGCUAAUCUAACAGCUGACUGAUUAGCUAAUUUAAUCGCCUGCUCAACUGACGAUCUGUCAGAGUUUUUUCUAAACUGAACCGAAACACCAAAUUCAGCAGCACAUCUACAUGUUAGGUUGUCAUAGUCAAGCUAGCAUAACUGAACUCCUUCCCUGUCCCUUGCUAUUUUUUUAUUAAAACUUUUUCCUGAUCUUGUUUUCCGUCUGUUGUAGUGUAGCAAAGCACUGCGUCCCUUUUUCUUUAACACAUCACAGGUACGUUUAAUAUUUGGCGCGUUGUGCUGGCAACUUAACAGCUAAAACCAAUGAUAGCCUCCUUAUUGGAGUGUCUCUCUAUGCAUGGUUAAUGAAGAAGAGUUGUGAAUAAGUGCGGGUUGUGUUUGAGGAUGAAGGCAUCGACCGCCUGAUGACACGAAUCACAAUUCAGUCUCAGACAAAACGCUUUUCUUCUCUUCACAAGAAGGAACUCAGUUAUUUCCAAUCCCAUUUUCUCUUGUCUACAGUGUUUUGUAUUUUCUCAGAGAUUUUCUUGCUUAAUGUCAUUUUAAAUAUUGAAUUGAACCUUAUUAUUUGACUCAUUUUUGAGCAAAUCUUAAAUUAUCCUGUCUUCCUCUGACCUGCCUGUUGUGUUCCUUGGUUGGUUGUUUGCUAAUGUUCUCCAACAGCUUAAAAGAAAUAAAUUUCUGGUAAUUAAUGGGGUAAAAUGAGGUUGGUGGUGAAAUGAUAAGAACCUAUAUGGUGCCAAUUUGUCCAUUCAGCAGCCAGGACAGCCCAGACUGGGAGAAUGGCCAAGUGCUUGAGUGGUUUUACACAAAAAGUGUUUUCUUUUUUUUUUAAGCAAUUUGUUUGAAAUUCCUGCCUGUGAAAAGAAAUGUAUUGUAAUGUAAAAACACAUUUGUCAAUCAACACCAUACAUUAAAGGAGGGAAUGCUGUAAUGGGCAUAAAGCCUGAUAUAAGAGGCCCUAUCACGUGGCAGAACACAGCAGGAAGGUGUUUAUUAUGCUGUCACAUCUCAGCAGGACGCAGUAAAAUAAAUGCCUCUUUGCUAAAAAAA